GCCCCGGUAGCUCAGUUGGACAGAGCGACGGAUUCCUAAUCCGUAGGUCGUGGGUUCAAGUCCCGCCCGGGGUA
Molecule: transfer RNA, 74 nt
Filed under: Lentisphaerota bacterium
Lineage: Bacteria; Pseudomonadati; Lentisphaerota
Description: Lentisphaerae bacterium (anaerobic digester metagenome) tRNA-Arg
Rfam family: tRNA
About the family: Transfer RNA (tRNA) molecules are approximately 80 nucleotides in length. Their secondary structure includes four short double-helical elements and three loops (D, anti-codon, and T loops).
Source: RNAcentral